RNAcentral lists this long non-coding RNA (1965 nucleotides) under Homo sapiens (human). RNAcentral describes it as "LHRI_LNC700.5". The record is from RNAcentral. Lineage: Eukaryota; Metazoa; Chordata; Mammalia; Primates; Hominidae.
GCUCAGAAGCUUUCGCCUCCGCCUUCAGACUGGCCCUCAGGCUUCCCUGCUCAGAGGCAGGGAAUUGUGCAGCUGGAGUUUCAUUUUCCAAGAGGCAGGGUCUCAGUCUGUCACCCAGGCUGGAGUACAGUGGCACCAUCUUGGCUCACUCUAGCCUCGACCUCCUGGGCUCAAGUGAGCCUCCUACCUCAGUCUCCCAAAAUGCUGGGAUUACAAGCAUGAACCACUGUGACUUGCCUUCUUGGCAAUUUUAAAUGAAAGAAGAAGAUGGAAUAAUGCCUACUGAGGACUAUGUUUGAGGGGUGUUGUAUGACCCCGUUUUCCAUACCCAGCCAACUUGUCAUGUGACAAGUCCACAGAAAGAUGUUAUAUGACAGGAAUCUAUGAACUAGUCUUCCCUGAAAUGUACCUGACUACAGCUAACAUCAUAUCACAUGAUGAAAGACCGCGUUGUUUUCCCCUGAGGUUGGCACUGCAGCUGUGGGUGAUUCGGAUGGUCUGUUGGUGGAAUGUGGAGCUGGACGGGUCAAGGAGCACAGUGUGGAAAGAGGGACAAUUUGCUACAAGUUGGAGAUAAGAGACAUGGCAUACUGUGAAACCAGUGCUGACGGAAGAAGGUGACUUUCUUGGAAGGUCAAGACACUUGCUUGACAGCGAUGUCCAGGAGGGCUAGGGAGAGUUCUGCUGGAAGUGAAGGCAGCACCUGAGGGUGGCUGAGGGAACUGGUCAGGGCUGGGAACGCCUCCAGCCCUUUGAGGAAUGAUUCGCUGAUUAAGAGAUGUUUGGCCUUGAAAAUUGCAAGAAUGAAAUCUCUUGGUGGGAAUGUGUAGCCAAAAGCCAGCACCCUGAGUGGCUCCAAGGUUUGGGGACCCUCUCAAGGCACAAAUCCCAGUUCCUUUUCAAUUUUGAAAAUCGUUGUGGGCGAUUCUGGAAUUGAGAAGUGUGCUGAGAGCCAUGGAUUUAACAUGACAAGAAUUUCCGCCCCUUCGUCACUGAGCACACCGCAAAUGCUCCAGGGCCAGGGACUUACUUGGGCUUCUGCGUGUCUUCCACAGUGUGCAUCAAUCCGCCGGGCUCUGGUUGGUGUUUAAAAAAAAAGAUGCAGCGAAGGAAUCUGGUGUGGACAAACGCCCUGGGCAUGGACCAAAAGCCUGGCCCUUGUGUCCCUGGCAAUGGGACGGUGAAGGACAGAAAGACAGCACAUCCAGUAGUGUCAGGAGCUUGGAGCAGGCAUUCGGAAGCAUCUGUUAAAUGUUAUUGAUGGAGGAUUGACAUAACCCACAUCUGCAUAGCUUUUUUGGUCUGUUUUUGGAAGUGAACAGUCACAAACAAAAACAACUUUGGUUCAGGUCAUUUAUAGGCCCAGAUCCUCUAUCCUUAGAGGUUUCCCACCAGAUAUACUAUUUCACUAUCUAUGCCAGGAAAGUUACGUAAAACCACGCAGAAUUUUACCUGACAACGAAAUAGACCUUUUCGUUAGAUCCUCCACCCCACCUAAAGCAGUUACACAGGCUGAAAUGAAACUGUUAAAGGAAUGAACUAACUUGGAGAUAGAAUCAUCGCCUUUGCUGAACACCAUUUUAAGAAUAUUGGAAUAUAUAGGGGUACCAGCAUAAUAGUAAAAUGUGCCCAUAUUAUCUAUAAUUUUAUGCUGGGCACUUUUUAGAAAUUAUUUUUUAUAACUUUGUCUUUGAGAUGAUUUGGCUACAAGUUCAUUACAUUUAGUUUACAACUGGCUUUGAUUUCUUGGCAUUCGUUGUGUAUUAUUAGGAAACCCCGCAGAGAGAAAAUGUAAACUCCAAAUUGCUUUAAAAUAUUAUGAUAGUUUUUAGGGAUAUUACACUGUGACAGUGAAUGAAAUGGACGUAACGUUCUGUUUUGUAGAUAUUUUGUGAAAUCUUUAUUAGUCUUGAUUUUCUUUGGAACAAGUCAUUCCUGUUCUGGGCUGAAGCCUGAAAAUUCCCU